Molecule: long non-coding RNA, 244 nt
Organism: Astyanax mexicanus (Mexican tetra)
Lineage: Eukaryota; Metazoa; Chordata; Actinopteri; Characiformes; Acestrorhamphidae
Exons: 4
Source: RefSeq, a predicted model, not a curated record
CUUUAGGCUAGAGUCUAAUUCAGGUCACGAGUCUUUAGGCUAGAGUCUAAUUCAGGUCACGAGUCUUUAGGCUAGAGUCUAAUUCAGGUCACGAGUCUUUAGGCUAGAGUCCAAUUCAGGUCACGAGUCUUUAGGCUAGAGUCUAAUUCAGGUCACGAGUCUUUAGGCUAGAGUCUAAUUCAGGUCACGAGUCUUUAGGCUAGAGUCUAAUUCAGGUCACGAGUCUUUAGGCUAGAGUCCAAGU